This 81-nucleotide microRNA precursor is filed under the name Erinaceus europaeus (western European hedgehog). RNAcentral describes it as "miRNA (ENSEEUG00000016016.1)". The record is from RNAcentral. Lineage: Eukaryota; Metazoa; Chordata; Mammalia; Eulipotyphla; Erinaceidae.
UGCCUGGCCUCAGAUAUUCUCUGGCCAUAUUAGGUGCUGUCUCCCCUCCUAGACUGGAGCUCCUUGAGGACCAGUAGGAUG